GUACUGGUUUCGACAGGGAUCUUGAAGCUUGAGGAGCCAUUGGGAGAGACCACCUUACGGUGUAAACUUAAAUAUAAACGCAGAUAAUAAAUUAGCGUACGCUGCAGCCUAAUUGCAGCAGCUGUCUUUGGAUCACCUGUAGUCUAGAGAUACAGCUUCAAUGAUGCAGGACACUCGUCUGCUUAAGCUUUGCGGCAGAUGAAGUAUUGAUGAAGCUACUAAAGCAGCCAUCCCGUCUGUCGGAGUGCUGUGGAGGGAAUGUCAAUAGGCAGACUGUAAUGGGAGAGCCUUAAGUGAACGGGUUUUUGGACGCGGGUUCGAUUCCCGCCUGGUCCAU
RNAcentral lists this transfer-messenger RNA (337 nucleotides) under uncultured Anaerostipes sp. It matches the Rfam family "transfer-messenger RNA". Rfam says of the family: Bacterial tmRNA, also known as 10Sa RNA or SsrA, is named for its dual tRNA and mRNA-like properties. The record is from RNAcentral. Lineage: Bacteria; Bacillati; Bacillota; Clostridia; Lachnospirales; Lachnospiraceae.